RNAcentral lists this unclassified non-coding RNA (2349 nucleotides) under Hevea brasiliensis (rubber tree). Lineage: Eukaryota; Viridiplantae; Streptophyta; Magnoliopsida; Malpighiales; Euphorbiaceae. The record is from RNAcentral.
AUUCCAAAAACACUUAUACAACUGUUACCUUGACCCCUUCCUUUACAAUAAUAUCUUGUCAAUUUGUAGAUCAGAUCAUGAACAGCUUAAAUUAAAUCAUUCACGCGCCAGUUUGAAGAUCAUCAUAUUGUCGUUUGCAAUUACAAUUCCCUGACCGCCGCCACCGUCGUCCUUGUCGUUCACAACCUCGGAACCAUCGCCGUCGCUAUUUAGAUUGAACUUCAUUGUAGUUGACCACUUUGAAGAAAUAGCUGUCGCUGCUUAGAUUGGACUGAAGGGAAGUAAGAAGCCCUAAAUACCUGCCCACUCCUAUCCCCUGCUUCUUUCUCAGACCCAAAGGAAUUGGCUGAUUUAAACGCGUCAGUUCGGGAGAGAUUCAAUAAUUUACCCGAUUUUAAUCCAAUAAAUUGAGGUAAAAUCAUCGUUUUGUUUGUAAAUGUUUCUUUUAUAUAGCUGGGUAGAUCUGUCCGUGUGCAAAUAUAUGUUUUGUUUAGCUUUGAUGACUUCAAAAUUGUGCAAAAUGGAAAAUGGAAUUUGUGUUGGGUUUAUUUAUUUAUUUUUUGAAAUUAUUGGAUUUAUUUUUUUGUUCAUAGCAGUUCAAUUCUGAAAAUUGCAUAUACAUAUACAUAAUGUGCGUAUGUACAGAGAAAUUGGUAAUUGAUUUGUAAUGAUUUUCUUUCUAUAAAUUCAUUCAUUUAUCUGUUAAAUUUAUGCUACUAUCUUAAUUUCCUUACCCCCUAAAUUCAUUUUGUAAAAUCCAAAUCUUGUGUGACUAUUGCAAAUAUAUUAGGAAAUACUAAUUGUCAACAAUCAAAAUCACAAACUUCAAACUGUUAUCACAUAUCCAUACUAUAUUAAUCCUAGUAUUUAUUAGAACAAACAUAUUAGAUAAUCUAAAGUUUUGAAAAAGUUUUGGGAUAUUUAUGCAAAAUCUAAUAAACAUAACAUUACAAACUUCAAAUGAUACAUGCUUUUUCCAUUUUAUUCAACUAUAUAUUAGAACAAAUCUAGUAGACAAUAUAAAGUUUUGAGAAAUUGGAGAAAUUAAUUAUUAUACAAAAUUUAGUGCAUGUGUUUGUAAAUAGACAUACAAGUACACAUGUUUAUAGCUUAAUUAAUUGCAUAAUGUUUCCUAUUUUUGCUCCCUUUCUAAGCAAGCUCCAUCAAUGGCGGGUAUCAACAUUGCCUACCUCUGGCUUGUUGUUCUCUUUAGCUUCCCCCUCUGUCUCCUUGCUCUCCUAGUUCUAAUUGUUAGGCCCCGCCCUGUCAAGAUUCCUAUAAAAAACCGCCAUGUGUUCAUCACUGGUGGAUCAAGUGGAAUUGGGUUGGCUUUGGCUCAUCAAGUCGCAUUGGAAGGGGCUCAAGUGUCCAUCCUAGCCCGUUCCCUCGAAAAGCUCAAGGAAGCAAAGCACAUGAUCCAGCUUUCCACUGGUGUUGAUGUGGCAAUUUUUGCAGCAGAUGUGAGGGAUUUUGACUCCAUACAAAAGGUGGUGGCUGAGGCAGGCCCUAUUGAUGUUUUGGUGGUGAAUCAAGGUGUUUUUCUGCCUCAAGAGCUAGAGAAGCAGGAAUUGGAUGAGGUCAGGUUCAUGAUAGAUGUGAACUUGAUGGGAAGUUUUAACAUGAUUAAAGCUGCUUUGCCCGGAAUGAAGACUAGGAAUGGGCGUGGGCCUGCCUCUAUUGCUCUCAUGUCAUCUCAGGCUGGUCAGGUGGGCAUAUAUGGUUACACUGCUUAUUCAGCUAGUAAGUUUGGCCUUCGGGGUUUAGCAGAAGCAUUACAACAGGAGGUCAUUGCAGAUGACAUCCAUGUCUCCCUUAUAUUCCCUCCUGACACAGAGACUCCUGGUCUUGCUGAAGAAAACAAAAGAAGGCCACAACUCACAAGUAUCAUUGCUGCCUCCUCUGGUGCAAUGAAAGCAGAUGAAGUUGCCAAAAAAGCUUUAGAUGGCAUCAAAUCUGGUAGUUUUGUUGUCCCAUGCAACAUUGAGGGAUCCUUAUUGGCCAUAGCAACUGCUGGUUUAUCCCCACAAAGAUCAUUCUUAAUGGCAUUUGUUGAGGUGGUUGCUGCUGGUCUAAUACGUUUAAUUGCUCUUUGUUUCCAGUGGAAUUGGUAUGGAAGUAUAGAAAAGUGGCACGCACAAAAGAAAUAGCAAGCAUUCAGUAUCACCCUCAUGUAAUUUCUUUUUUGUGUGAUGAAUAGAGCGCCUGGUUCGUCAGAUGGUGUUAACCUUUUGUGUUCUGACAUUGAUUUGUCAUACUGUGUUAAGAUUAUAUUGAAGCAAUAUUAAAGUGAAAAAAUGAAAAUACUAAUACUGUAAUGUUACAACCAGAUAAGUUCAGGGACAGUUGUCA